CAGCAGCCGCGGGAAUACGAAGGGGGCUAGCGCUGUUCGGAUUUACUGGGCGUAAAGGGUGCGUAGGCGGAUUGUUAAGUCAGGGGUGAAAUCCCGAGGCUCAACCUCGGAACUGCCUUUGAUACUGGCGAUCUUGAGUCCGGGAGAGGUGAGUGGAACUGCGAGUGUAGAGGUGAAAUUCGUAGAUAUUCGCAAGAACACCGGUGGCGAAGGCGGCUCACUGGCCCGGAACUGACGCUGAGGCACGAAAGCGUGGGGAGCAAACAGGAUUAGAUACCCCUGUAGUCCCUGUCUCUUAUAC
This 301-nucleotide ribosomal RNA is filed under the name uncultured bacterium. Its description in RNAcentral is "partial 16S ribosomal RNA". It matches the Rfam family "Bacterial small subunit ribosomal RNA", at positions 509 to 807 of the family's 1533-position model. The record is from RNAcentral.